GACGUAGGGCGCGAGCGUUGUCCGGAUUGAUUGGGCGUAAAGAGCUCGUAGGCGGCUCGUUGCGUCGGCUGUGAAAACCCGCAGCUCAACUGUGGGCCUGCAGCUGAUACGGGCGGGCUGGAGUUCGGUAGGGGAGACUGGAAUUUACGGUGUAGCAGUGAAAUGCGUAGAUAUCGUAAGGAAGACCAGUGGCGAAGGCGAAUCUCUGGACAGUUACUGACACUGAGGCACGAAAGCGUGGGGAGCAAACAGG
RNAcentral lists this ribosomal RNA (253 nucleotides) under uncultured bacterium. Its description in RNAcentral is "partial 16S ribosomal RNA". It matches the Rfam family "Bacterial small subunit ribosomal RNA", at positions 524 to 776 of the family's 1533-position model. The record is from RNAcentral.